This is an RNA transcript of Scylla paramamosain (green mud crab), 5743 nucleotides long. It is a transcript of the gene named nuclear autoantigenic sperm protein-like, with no coding region annotated. The transcript has 13 exons. Lineage: Eukaryota; Metazoa; Arthropoda; Malacostraca; Decapoda; Portunidae. The record is from RefSeq and is a predicted model, not a curated record.
AUGUGAGAUUUUAAACAGAAGCCUUUGCUGUCACCCCUGCCAAGCCCUACCAAACCCUGUCAGCCCCCACCAAGGCCCUCUCAAGCUUCACCAAGGCCUGUCAACCCCCUACCGAGACCUAUCAGCUCUAUAAUCUGAAAAAAGUGCAGUGUCUUAGGAGGGAUUGAUUAAGUAAACAGUGACUUAUGGCCAAAAUGGAACUAUAUGGAGAUUAAGUAGAGAUUAGAAUAGAAGCUGAAAUUGAGCAGGAUAGUUACAAUCACAGACUUCCAACUUGCUACUCCUUGGUGUGAAAGAAUCUGCAGGAAAUUAAGUACAUGGCAACUCCUGUUAGUCCCUCAUGUGUUCUUGAAAGCAGACUGACAGAUUCAGUGUGUGACAUGCUGACGUGGGGGAAGGCUGUCUGGUGGCUGCUCUAUGCUGUAGCUAACAAAAUGGUUGUGUUUCAAGUGUUGUCAUGCCUGGAAAGUCUACAGGUCAUCAUUACUAGUAUAAAUGUGUACUACAAUGGUGAAAUUUAGUGAAAAAAUGUGCUGUUUAUGUAUUGGCAGGGAAAGAUUUGUGCUCAUCAAGACAAUGAUAAAAAAAAUUUUUAUAUUAUUAUUAUUAUUACUAUUUUUUUUCUUUUACUUGUUUUGCUGUAAGAUGAGACUACAAUAACUGCCCCUUGAUGCCCUAUAAGGUACCGCCAAGCACCAAGGGGCGGCCACCACGGUGUACAGUGAAGCACGUCCCAGCAUCCCUGUCACCAUCUUUUCCCUGCCAAUAAUUAUGCAUUACAUUUCCCAACUAAUUUCAUUCUAGUACAACAUUUCUACUACUAAUGGUGGCCUGGUUAAUCUGUUAAGGGAGCACUUUGUUCAACAUCUUUAAAAUAUUAUUUGAUCAUCACCUGUAUCUCUCACCUGAUGAUAUAGAUAGGCUGGGUGUAGGUAACAACUUUCAACCUCUCCUCAGUGAUGGACAAUUCAGAGACAGUGAGGUCAGCUUCCCCUGACUGCAGAGCUCCUACCGUGCCCGUCCACUCGUUGCUUGAGCUGUCCUUCAGUUUCCCAGGGGCAGUCGGUCUGUACAUGCGUGAGGUGGCGAGGGGCGUGGCCAGGGGGCGGCUAGUAGCGUGUGCCACCAUGGAAAUAUGUACAGACAUAAAGAAGACGCCCUCAAGAAAGACUACCCCAUCCCCUGCCUCCCGCUGUGCCCCACCCAGACACCACGGCCCAGCAGUGACGCCAUUCCACCUGCUACACGACGCUGGCUGACGCACUCCAGACGUGGCAGCAACAGGAGGUGGAGGGCAGGAGCAAGAGUCAGAUGGAUGGCGAAGGAAGGCAUGAUGGCGGAGCUGGUGGCUUUGGAGGGUGUUCGUGCAGGGUACCUCGGCAGGGUCUAGAUUAGAGCAAAUGGAUGAUGAGAGACUAGUAAGGUGUUUGUGUGGAAUAUUAGGAGUAGCAGUUGGGGGAACAAGUGUGUUAGGAUGGUAAUAAAGAAUGGCUUGGAAACUAGUUGUUGGGCUUUUGAGGGGUUGAGUGAAGCCUUGUUGAGAGUGAUGGAAGUAGGAUUGUCAGAAAUGGAGAGGGCUUACAAUGUUAUGUAACUAAGUGGACAAGUGAGAUAGACAGAGUGAUCAAGCACAUGGGACUGAGUGAGCCAAGUGUGGAAAUUCUGGGAUGGAGUGAGCCAGGUGUGGAAAAGUGUGGAAAUUGUGGGAUUGAGUGAGCCAUGUGUGGAAAUUGUGUAGAAAAGUGUGGAAAUAGUGUGGAGAAGGUGUGGAAAAAAUGUGGAAAUUGUGGGGUUGAGUGAGCCAGGUGUGGACAAGUGAGAUAGACAGAGCGAUGAAGCAUGUGGGGUUGAGUGAGCCAGGUGUGUGCGUCACUUGGGGAUGACUGUGAGCUAACCUGGGACCAAUGGUUGAUGACGCUCACUGAUGGAAUUAGAAGCUGCAUGAAUUGUUUAUGUAGAUUUUAGAAGCUGUCUCAAUUGUUUGUGUAGAUCUGAAGCACUUACUUUGAAUUGAAGGCUUGGACCAUGUAAUAUCUUUGUAAUUCUUCUGUAUCUCUGUCAUAAGUUCCUUAGAUAACUCACUACUGUUUUUGUCUCUAUAUAAUAAUAUGUACAUUUACUCAAACUGCAUUUCCUUUCAGUGUGCAGGUUGGCAGUAAACCUCCCUGAAGGUUCCAGAACUGCUCACCAAGUGUCCAGCCCAGCCUGUCACAAGACUAUGUGACAGUGGACCUUCCACUCAUACUGAAAACAGCUGUGCACUGCCACUCACAGGAAGUGGUGACCACUCUAGAUUGAGUUGUCUUGAAGCUGAGAUGAGUUGGUCGGGUAAUGAGUGACUUGCAUCAAGUGACCGUGAGGUGUUGGACGUGAUAUUGUGUUAUUGCAAGUGUAACCAGUAAUAACAGCGUUCGACCGUUUCUCUAGGGGCAAGCGACACCUCCUGGUGGGGGACUUCAAAUCUGCUGUCGCUGCCUUCGAGGAGGCAACAGAGUCCCUGGUGGAGCUGUGUGGGGAGCAGGCGCCCGAGUGUGGUGACGCGUACUGCCGCUGUGGCCGUGCAUUGCUGGAGCUGGCACGCAAGGAGGCAGGGGUGCUGGGGCCAGAUCUGGAUGGUGCCAGUAGUCAGGAGGGAAGCACAGGGGAAGAGGAGGACGAGGAGGAAGAGAGUUAAGAGUCACAAGAGGAGGAGGAAGGUGGAAAGAAAGAGGAAGGAGAGGAGGAGGAGGAGGAGGAGGAAGAUGGAGAAGGAAAGGAGAAAGAUAAGAAGGAAGGAAAUGCUGCAGAAGGAGAAGAGCAAUAAGACAUUAGAAUUGACAGAGAAACCAGACAAGGGACUGCAUUUGAAGAAGCACAAGAACCAAGAAAUUACAUCAUUCAAUGAAAUGACAACAUAAUCUAAAAUAGAAAUAAAAAACGUCACAAGACAGAAUAGUGAGCUGCAUGCACUUAUCACAGAGUAUAAAGUCACUCCCUCAGAGGAAAAAGACAAGGAUGGCAUGUCUUCAUGUGAGAACUCAGAAGCUAAAUGUACAGAUACCAAGGGGAAAUUGCUGGGUCAAGUGGCUACACUGACAUCUGAGGUUAGCAGGUUGGAGAGUGAGUGCAGCAGUCUUCAGGUUCAGCUAGACUGUGAGAGGGAUAAGUAUAACAAACUGCUGGGAGAAUCUCUUGCUCAUGAAAAGUUGUCUGAAGAUGUCAUAACUGAACCAAAAGGAGAAACAACAGGAUUGGGAGGAACUGAGCUUUAACAGAAGCUGCAACAACUGCAGGAGGCUCACAGGGUCCUGGAGAGCAGGUUAACUUGCAGCAUGAAGGAGGUGGCUGAGCUAAGUGACAGGAAGUAGCAGCUUAAGCAUGCUGUAGUGCAUGAGGAGACAGAGUCCAUCGGUGUAUGCAUGUUUUUUGCUCAUUUGAAUCAUCUGUAAAAGUGAAGUGGAGGAAGUGUUUACUGUUUACUGUAUGCCAUUUCCUUGGUCUUUUAAUGAAGAAUUUUAUCCUUCUUCAGGUGACUACAUCACCAUCUACCAGUUGCAGCGAGGAGUGAUGAAGCAACAAGCUCGAGAACGCGAGUUAGACCUUGCCAGCCUCCAUCAUGAAUGAGAGGAAAUGAAGCAAAACCACUCUGCAGGAUUUGAUAUCAAAGCUGGUGCAGGAAAAGGAAGCAGAUCAUGACCUUCAGCAGCUCGAGAAGAUAAGCAGCGUCCUUAAGAGUCCAGUUGCUAUCUUUAGCAGUGUUGGAACCAGUGAGUCUGAGACACCCACCACCAGUGGAAAGGUGGCUGACGAGCGCCUCAAGCACUCUGAAAAGGUGGAGCAACAACAAGAAACAGAAAAUUGCAUCCAUCAUUCUUUGCCUGAGGAGGGAAUUGAUGCUCUGUUGACCCUUCACACUGAUGUCCCUCAUGAGGAGGGGAGAAUAUGAAUCCUACAGAACUUGCCCAUAGGAAGACCAAAACUGUUACUGCUGCCACACUGCCACCACUUCCACUGACACCAAAAGCCCAACUGUGCAGAGAAUCCUGGACCUCCGCAAUGAAAUGGAGUCCACCAGUCACCUGGAGCACUUUAGCCUCCAAAAGUUCCAUCCGUGUCCAUUGUGUUUGGGUAAACUUAUCACUGUAUAAGGGGACAAGUAUCAGUGUAUGGUUACUAUAUACUCAUUUGUACUUAAAGAUGUCAUGUCACAUCAUUCUCUCUCUCUCUCUCUCUCUCUCUCUCUCUCUCUCUCUCUCUCUCUCUCUCUCUCUCUCUCUCUCUCUCUCUCUCUCUCUCUCUCUCUCUCUCUCUCUCUCUCUUUCUUUCUUUCUUUCUUUCUUUCUUUCUUGCUUUCUUUUGUUGCAUAUGUUACUGCUUUACAUUCCUCCCCACAGUAUUUUUUCAUCUACUUUAUGACUGCAGUAGUUUUAUCAUCCCAGUGUAUGCUGUAUCCACUCUGAAACUGUAAUUCACCAAUCAGCUCAAAUGUGUCUCUGUUUUGAUAAUCAUUAAUUUGUUUCAGCUACACAACCACUCUGAUAAGGGACAAAAUCUACUUCACCAGUCAUCUAUGUCAUACAGUCAUAUAUAUUCAUACAUAUGACAAAAUACUCUUCCUAAGACAUUUCUUAUUUUCUCUUCUCAAGUGACCUGUCCAUCUAUCUAAGGUACCACAUAACAUUUAAAACUUACAAUAUUGUGUUUAAUUCAUGAACACUUUUUUGUCUAUCUAUGGAGACUUGCGUAUAGACUUGAAAUGUAUUGGGAGUUUUCUUUAUCUCUCAUUCUAUACCUAACACCUGUUCCUAAGAAUCCCCAGGUGAUAGCCAUGGUGACUGGCUGGUCUCCUACUGAGUGGCUGGGGUUUUCCAAAAGUGAGGGUUGGUGUUCCAUACCAUACCAUGUGCCCUGUUUGUAUUCCUUCUUUGUCCUCUGUAUUAUAUUCUAUGUAAAGAUGGUGCUGGGGUGGGAUCUACUUCUUAUUCCCUAAAAGUGAUGAGGAGUGACACUGGGCAGCAUUGAUUUGCUCCUUAGAGAUGGCUGGGUUCCUGUGGAUGAGUGGGCCAUGCUGUGCUUUGUCAAGGAUGGUGUUUGGUAUUGUGAUGACUCUUGCCACAAUCAAGUGCCUCCCACAGAGUAGUGGAGUACCUAUGUAUGGUGUUGACCCAAGCUGUCCAGGUCUCAUCCAAUGCCUUAAUAUGAUUUAGAUGAUCAAAAUGGUUUAACUCACCAUUUAAUCAGCUGACUGAUUUGAAUGGAGAAGUAUGUAAUGUGUUGUAGCCUAACCAUCCCUGCCAGCAUGGUCAGAUUCUUGGUAGUAACCUGAAAUGCUCCUAGGUAGUGAGUAUCAUUGCACAUAAUGAUCUUUACUUUGUCAGUAAUUCAAUGAUACUGAAUAUUACUCUACUGGAUUUUGCUCAGCACUGCUUGGUAACUUUUGGCCAUAAUCCCAGGUCUGGAAUGAUAUGAAGCCAUGUUUUUACAUUCCAUAUGAGACAGGCAAGCACUAUGCUUUGCCUGACUGAUACCUGUACUUUACAUUUAUGACCCCAGGUAGUUCAUCACUCUCUCUCUCUCUCUCUCUCUCUCUCUCUCUCUCUCUGUUUGGAAUUAUACUGUAUAUUAGGAAAUAUCAUUAAAGAGUGUGUGUGUAAAAAGUGUUUGCAUUAUUGUGCAUUUGAUGUUAUAGCCCCAGGUUCUUAAAGUUUUCUAGUUUCAUGAUUUAUAAAGAUUGCUAUUUUUAAUAAAGUUAUUGAAAUUGUUA